Non-coding RNA from Paramuricea clavata, 626 nucleotides. The record is from the annotation of a GenBank genome assembly. NCBI's taxonomy places the organism in Eukaryota, Metazoa, Cnidaria, Anthozoa, Malacalcyonacea, Plexauridae.
AUUAAAUAGGGUUUAUCAAAGACCGAGGCAGUUCGUUAGAGAACUAAUUUAUGUUAUGGAGGUCGUAUACUUCAAUUGAUCCAAAAAAUGCAUAACGACAAAUCUGAGUGAUGAAGAAAUGAAAAUUAUGUGAUCUGAAAUAGACAAAAAACCGAGGCAGAGCAGUUCUGUUUAAUUACCAAACGAAUUUCACAAAAAUAUGUAAUAUGAUCACAUUGUUAACAUGCAUCUUAUUUUGAUUGUAUUGCCCAGGCCAUCCCGAAAACCUGCCACUAUAGUCUAUCCCCUUUAGCCACGACCCAAUAACUACAUGGAAGGGUUGUAACCAAGGCCAGAGUAUAUUCAAUUCUUCCAUCCAAUACUUUAUAGAUGAAUAGCAGGACAAUUUUGGAUUUUUGAAAAUAACCUCCAUGAUAGAAAUUUAAAACAAUUUAUCGGCGUAAUUUAUCGGCCCACAUCGAGCAACUUAAUUAAAAAGAGUUUUGUCAAAACGUGAGUUUUGUCAAAAUAUUUUGCUACACUUUCAAUCACAUGAAAACGGGGGAAAAAGUGAAAUUUUCUCAAGUUUGUACCGUUUCAAGAACUUUCAAACCUUGGAAUAUUUUGAGGUAGCUUUAAUAAUAAUC